AUGGAAAUGGUUCAGCAGGAUGAGGUCCCUGGCGCUACCUCUUCUGCCACAAACGUCAGCAUGGUGGUAUCUGCCGACCUUUUGUCCGGCGAGAGGGCAGAGAUGAACAUCCUAGAAAUCAACAAGGAAUUGCGCUCCCAGCUGGCAGAGAGCAAUCAGCAGUUCCGAGACCUCAAAGAGAAAUUCCUUAUAACUCAAGCUACUGCCUACUCCCUGGCCAACCAGCUGAAGAAAUACAGCAAUAUAAAGCCCUGGUUCACUCUCAGGCACGAGAGCUGACCCAGUUACGGGAGAAGUUACAGGAAGGGAGAGAUGCCUCCCGCUCACUGAAUCAGCAUUUCAAGGCCCUCCUCGCUCCUGAUGACCUUGAAAAGUCCCAGGGUCAGGACCUCCGAGAGCAGCUGGCUGAGGGGCACAGGCUGGCAGAGCACCUUGUUCACAAGCUGAGCCCAGGUGAGGUGGCCAUGGGCCCUGAUGACACACAGCUCUAGGCUUAUGGAAGUCCCCAGACCUCCACACCUCCACAAUGACAACUUUAUGGGUAGUGUAUCUUUCCAGUAAACAUUUGUGGCCAUGACAUGACCAGGACUUCCUGAGUAGAAAUAGAGAUGGGAAACCCAUGGGGUUGGAGGUCACAGUAUUGCAAAGGUCUUCUCCUUUCUUGAUGGAACAUGGUCUUUGGAGCAAGAGGCAGCAUUUGUCCAGUUUUAAAGGACAGGAAGGAGGCUGUGACAGGAGGCAGCUUGUUAGAGUGAAAAGAGACCCAGACUAAGAAUGAAGGUUCCCAGGCUCUAUCUUCAGCAAUGUCUUUAGCAACUGUGGGCAACUGAUUAAUUUAUCCUUCCUGGGUUUCUAUGUCUGAUUCUGUGAAGGCAAACAAAUU
RNAcentral lists this long non-coding RNA (883 nucleotides) under Cercocebus atys (sooty mangabey). Its description in RNAcentral is "lncRNA (ENSCATG00000045798.1)". Lineage: Eukaryota; Metazoa; Chordata; Mammalia; Primates; Cercopithecidae. The record is from RNAcentral.